RNAcentral lists this ribosomal RNA (465 nucleotides) under uncultured Klebsiella sp. Its description in RNAcentral is "bacterial SSU rRNA". It matches the Rfam family "Bacterial small subunit ribosomal RNA", at positions 338 to 795 of the family's 1533-position model. The record is from RNAcentral. Lineage: Bacteria; Pseudomonadati; Pseudomonadota; Gammaproteobacteria; Enterobacterales; Enterobacteriaceae.
CCUACGGGUGGCUGCAGUGGGGAAUAUUGCACAAUGGGCGCAAGCCUGAUGCAGCCAUGCCGCGUGUGUGAAGAAGGCCUUCGGGUUGUAAAGCACUUUCAGCGGGGAGGAAGGCGUUAAGGUUAAUAACCUUGGCGAUUGACGUUACCCGCAGAAGAAGCACCGGCUAACUCCGUGCCAGCAGCCGCGGUAAUACGGAGGGUGCAAGCGUUAAUCGGAAUUACUGGGCGUAAAGCGCACGCAGGCGGUCUGUCAAGUCGGAUGUGAAAUCCCCGGGAUCAACCUGGGAACUGCAUUCGAAACUGGCAGGCUAGAGUCUUGUAGAGGGGGGUAGAAUUCCAGGUGUAGCGGUGAAAUGCGUAGAGAUCUGGAGGAAUACCGGUGGCGAAGGCGGCCCCCUGGACAAAGACUGACGCUCAGGUGCGAAAGCGUGGGGAGCAAACAGGAUUAGAUACCCUAGUAGUC